GACGAACGCUGGCGGCGUGCUUAACACAUGCAAGUCGAACGGGAAGGCCCUGCUUUUGUGGGGUGCUCGAGUGGCGAACGGGUGAGUAACACGUGAGUAACCUGCCCUUGACUUUGGGAUAACUUCAGGAAACUGGGGCUAAUACCGGAUAGGAGCUCCUGUUGCAUGGUGGGGGUUGGAAAGUUUCGACGGUUGGGGAUGGACUCGCGGCUUAUCAGCUUGUUGGUGGGGUAGUGGCUUACCAAGGCUUUGACGGGUAGCCGGCCUGAGAGGGUGACCGGCCACAUUGGGACUGAGAUACGGCCCAGACUCCUACGGGAGGCAGCAGUGGGGAAUAUUGCACAAUGGGCGGAAGCCUGAUGCAGCAACGCCGCGUGCGGGAUGACGGCCUUCGGGUUGUAAACCGCUUUCGCCUGUGACGAAGCGUGAGUGACGGUAAUGGGUAAAGAAGCACCGGCUAACUACGUG
Molecule: ribosomal RNA, 468 nt
Filed under: uncultured bacterium
Lineage: Bacteria
Description: partial 16S ribosomal RNA
Rfam family: Bacterial small subunit ribosomal RNA
Source: RNAcentral